UUUUCUGGAAUGAAAUGAGAAUGAGAAUGAGAAAAGUUUCAAUCUUUUUCAUAAAGUCAUCAUCUUCUUCUGAAAGGGUAUUUUUUGUUCUAGCUCCCUUUUAACAUUCUUGGUUAUCUCGCACAUAUAUAAAGAUUAGAGCUUGAUGUGAGAAGAGAGAUUUCCAUUCAUGGACCAUUCCGUGCCCUGUUUUUCCAGAUAAAGUUUCACCUCAUUUUCUCCCUAUUAUCGAUCCAAUAAUUCUUCUCCUAAUAUAUAUAUAUUGCAGGCACAAUUAAUCUAAUCCCCUCAAUUUCACCAUUUUUUUUAUUUCAUUGACUUCCAAUUUUAAAUCUUGGAAUCUCCACCCAACCAAAUCCCUCUUCCAUCCAGCUCAUUCAAUUGGG
Molecule: long non-coding RNA, 386 nt
Filed under: Panax ginseng (ginseng)
Lineage: Eukaryota; Viridiplantae; Streptophyta; Magnoliopsida; Apiales; Araliaceae
Description: long non-coding RNA (PGIN_LNC014186)
Source: RNAcentral